GGCGGAUGGAGCCCAGUGGAUCNAGGCAGUGGAAUA
RNAcentral lists this transfer RNA (36 nucleotides) under Melia azedarach (chinaberry). RNAcentral describes it as "partial tRNA-His". The record is from RNAcentral. Lineage: Eukaryota; Viridiplantae; Streptophyta; Magnoliopsida; Sapindales; Meliaceae.